Molecule: ribosomal RNA, 733 nt
Filed under: uncultured Acidobacteriota bacterium
Lineage: Bacteria; Pseudomonadati; Acidobacteriota
Description: bacterial SSU rRNA
Rfam family: Bacterial small subunit ribosomal RNA
Source: RNAcentral
GUCGAACGAGAAAGUGGAGCAAUCCAUGAGUAAAGUGGCGCACGGGUGAGUAACACGUGACUAACCUACCCUUGAGUGGGGGAUAACUGAGGGAAACCUUAGCUAAUACCGCAUAAUACCCACGGGUCAAAGGAGCAAUUCGCUCGAGGAGGGGGUCGCGGCCGAUUAGUUAGUUGGCGGGGUAAUGGCCCACCAAGACGAUGAUCGGUAUCCGGCCUGAGAGGGCGCACGGACACACUGGAACUGAAACACGGUCCAGACUCCUACGGGAGGCAGCAGUGGGGAAUUUUGCGCAAUGGGGGAAACCCUGACGCAGCAACGCCGCGUGGAGGAUGAAGUCCUUCGGGACGUAAACUCCUUUCGAUCGGGACGAUUAUGACGGUACCGGAAGAAGAAGCCCCGGCUAACUUCGUGCCAGCAGCCGCGGUAAUACGAGGGGGGCGAGCGUUGUUCGGAAUUAUUGGGCGUAAAGGGUGCGUAGGCGGUUUGGUAAGUCUUGUGUGAAAUCUAUGGGCUCAACUCAUAGUCUGCACGAGAAACUGCCGGGCUUGAGUGUGGGAGAGGUGAGUGGAAUUUCCGGUGUAGCGGUGAAAUGCGUAGAUAUCGGAAGGAACACCUGUGGCGAAAGCGGCUCACUGGACCACAACUGACGCUGAUGCACGAAAGCUAGGGGAGCAAACAGGAUUAGAUACCCUGGUAGUCCUAGCCCUAAACGAUGACUGCUUGGUGUGAC